This is a long non-coding RNA of Gorilla gorilla gorilla (western lowland gorilla), 589 nucleotides long. RefSeq lists it as uncharacterized. NCBI's taxonomy places the organism in Eukaryota, Metazoa, Chordata, Mammalia, Primates, Hominidae. The transcript is spliced from 3 exons. The record is from RefSeq and is a predicted model, not a curated record.
CUGGACCACAAGUACCCAUUUUGGGGGAUUUCCAGUGACAGUCCUACUCUCACUCCAUCACAUCGCUUCUAAAAUCUGAGUCACAUGGUUCAAAUUUCACAGUACGAAGUGUGUUCUUCAGAUCUGGGGUUCUCUCCAAAAUGGAUAAUCAUUAUUGGUUUUGUAAUGCAAUGCCAAGACCAUCAGUAAGUUUUUAUUUUACACGGCUCACUGUGGCUUUGACCUCCCAUGCUGAAGCGAUCCUCCCAUCUGAACCUCUCAAGUAGCUGGAAGCACAGGCAUGCACCACCACACCUGGCUAAUUUUUUUCUUCCUUUUUUAAAGAGACAGAGUCUCACCAUGUUGCCCAGGCCAUGUUGACCAGGAAAAAAAAAAGUUUUUUUUCUUUUUUAAAGAAAGAAAAUAAAAGAGACUGAGAAACCACAGAAAUAAAGAAGCGCUGAUGACAAUGCCUGCUUGCUGAUGGUUACGAUGAUCAUAGCAGUGUACAUUUUGUAUGCAUGAAGCCUGCAACUAAAUAAAUGUGUGGGGAAAUAUUUGUAAGGAAAUAAGCUAUUAAUAAGCUAAAAUCACAGUUGCUGGACUAUGA